CUAAUACAUGCAAGUCGAGCGAGCUUGCCUAGAUGAAUUUGGUGCUUGCACCAGAUGAAACUAGAUACAAGCGAGCGGCGGACGGGUGAGUAACACGUGGGUAACCUGCCCAAGAGACUGGGAUAACACCUGGAAACAGAUGCUAAUACCGGAUAACAACACUAGACGCAUGUCUAGAGUUUAAAAGAUGGUUCUGCUAUCACUCUUGGAUGGACCUGCGGUGCAUUAGCUAGUUGGUAAGGUAACGGCUUACCAAGGCAAUGAUGCAUAGCCGAGUUGAGAGACUGAUCGGCCACAUUGGGACUGAGACACGGCCCAAACUCCUACGGGAGGCAGCAGUAGGGAAUCUUCCACAAUGGACGCAAGUCUGAUGGAGCAACGCCGCGUGAGUGAAG
RNAcentral lists this ribosomal RNA (395 nucleotides) under Lactobacillus gasseri ATCC 33323 = JCM 1131. RNAcentral's name for it is "bacterial SSU rRNA". It matches the Rfam family "Bacterial small subunit ribosomal RNA", at positions 48 to 410 of the family's 1533-position model. The record is from RNAcentral. Lineage: Bacteria; Bacillati; Bacillota; Bacilli; Lactobacillales; Lactobacillaceae.